Molecule: ribosomal RNA, 468 nt
Filed under: uncultured bacterium
Lineage: Bacteria
Description: partial 16S ribosomal RNA
Rfam family: Bacterial small subunit ribosomal RNA
Source: RNAcentral
GACGAACGCUGGCGGCGUGCUUAACACAUGCAAGUCGAACGGACAGGCCCUGCUUUUGUGGGGUGCUCGAGUGGCGAACGGGUGAGUAACACGUGAGUAACAUGCCCUUGACUUUGGGAUAACUUCAGGAAACUGGGGCUAAUACCGGAUAGGAGCUCCUGCUGCAUGGUGGGGGUUGGAAAGUUUCGGCGGUUGGGGAUGGACUCGCGGCUUAUCAGCUUGUUGGUGGGGUAGGGGCUUACCAAGGCUUUGACGGGUAGCCGGCCUGAGAGGGUGACCGGCCACAGUGGGACUGAGGUACGGACCAGACUCCUACGGGAGGCAGCAGUCGGGAAUAUUGCACAAUGGGGGGAAGCCUGAUGCAGCAACGCCGCGUGCGGGAUGACGGCCUUCUGGUUGUAAACCGCUUUCGCCUGUGACGAAGCGUGAGUGACGGUAAUGGGUCAAGAAGCACCGGCUAACUACGUG